Chelonia mydas (Green sea turtle) is the source of this 5733-nucleotide long non-coding RNA. RefSeq lists it as uncharacterized. The transcript is spliced from 3 exons. NCBI's taxonomy places the organism in Eukaryota, Metazoa, Chordata, Testudines, Cheloniidae. The record is from RefSeq and is a predicted model, not a curated record.
UGGUGACCUAAUCUGCCAACCUCCUGUUUCCACCCUCCCGCUAAAACAAGUCACUACAAUAUGUCUAGCACUCAGAGAGCUCAGCAGCUCUCACCUGGGGAGGUGCCUCUCUACUGCUUUGGGAAGGUGCGGCUGGAGUCUGACCAGAAGUGUCUAGAUCAGAAAAGGAAUUCGGAGGGGAAAGAUUUGUAUGGCUCACAAGAUUUCCGGUGUUUGUUUGGUUUUUUUCAGUCUCCUGUAACAACAACGGCAGCUGCUCAGCUUCCUUUCUAGAUAACCUUCUUCCUGUUACCCAGCAUGCUUAUUAUCUACUACAGACAGACUGGCAAGAGUAACCGGAAAACUGAUACCUUAUCUCUACCUCUCAAGGAGCUUAUUGAGGAGUUGGAAUGUGUUGCAAUGGUAAUUGAUUGUAUAAAUACAAGUGAUAUAUAUAUGGAUAUGAGGCUACACCUUUGACAGAGACAGCACCUGCUAGACAGGAACCAGGCUGUAGGCACCAGGGCUUGUGCCUACAAAAAAACCACCAUUUAAAAUCAGAGUCAGAAAAGCAGCAGCUCAGGCUUAGCAGCGGAUUGGGGGUUGGCAGUCAGGACUCCUGGGUUCUAUUCCCAGUUCUGCCACUGCCUUGCUGUGUUGUUAGCCAAGUCUUGACCCCUUUGGACCUGGGUCUCCCCAUCUGUGGAAAAGGGUUCACCAUACAUACCUGCCUUGCAAAGGAUGUUAUGAGGAUGAAUCAGUUUGUUUGCGUGGGGGUUUUCCACGAAAUGUCUUUUUAGUCUGGGCGUGGAUUUAGAACAAGGUAAUAUGUAAACACAACAAUAAGAGUAAAUAGGAUUUUCAAGCUAAUAGACUAAUUGAAAUGAAUGGACUCAGCAGUGAAGGCAGGCUGUGAGAGCUGAACCGGAACUGAUGAGUGACCGGAGUCAAGCAGUGCUGCAGCACUUCGCUCAUUUCCCUCUCGGAGAACAAGACAGGCAAACCUUAGGCCCUGGUGCAGGCGUGACCCUGCUGUUACCCGUGUGAACCUGACAGGAGGGGAUGUUCUUAACAAGACCAACGCAACAAAGACCAAAAAGCCCUGCCUCCAUCCCUCCAGCUGUGGGGAGAUGAUGUAACCUGGGGUUGGGAUACUCUGGCUCUAAGCCCCAGGUGAACAGAGUCUACUGAGGCACCUGUAUUCCCCAGCUAUUUUGAAGUAUCGAUCAUAAUCUGCGGCAAACAAAGCAGAUUAAUAAAGUUGCAGUCAACCUCUCCGCUUAAAGGUAUAUUUUCAGCUUGUUUAGUAUAAUGGCCUCUCAGUGCAAGUCCUUGGCUGGCAAGACAUGUACUACUAUAAUUUUCAUUAGGAUCUUCCUGUUUUCUUCUGAGAGAACUGAAAACUUAGCAUGUCACCAGCAUUCUUUGUGGUCAUUUGACACACUCCAGCUGCUUUGUGGUGACACAGAGAAGCUUGAUGCUUCUCAAAUUUGUCUCGAGUCUUUUUCCACUUAGGAAAUUCAGACUCAGUGAAAGUAUCACCUGCGCACUUAGUCAAAAGUAUUUUGCAUCUAAAAGGCUUACAACAGACGCAACAAAGUGCUUUAUCACUAGCUUCAAAAUAAUGGAGCCAUUGAUAGUCAUCAACCAGGAUGAGCAGGAAGAACGGCCCUGUUUUCUAAAGCAACACAUGAGGAAAGACUUGUGUCAUGAAGUGGUUGACCAGGUGUCUCAGAAGUACCAACAGUAUCAGGUAACUGGCAUUUGGUUCUUGUUGAGGGGGAUAAAAGAGAUAGGUCAGUGCUAUAACUGCAGGAGUAGAUUCACUUGUUGGAAGCGUAGUAGCUUCCUCCUAUUUAAUCAGCCAUGUUCCAAGUGAUUUCAGGUUAGCACCUUGAAAAUGGACACUUGGGUUUUGUGCUUUGCUCAGUCACUGCUCACUUAGGAAGAAUGGUGUGGGGUUGCAGAAUUAAAAAACAUACUCUGGCAACCUCAAACAUUGAGCUGGCUUCUUGGUUUUAUACAGUUGCUUUCUUUGUAGGGCAGUCUAGAAUGUCGUAGAGUGAAGAAAGGGAACAGCCAACACCUGAUCUGUGGUUUACACUGGGAAAUAAUUGCUUUUAUCUUUUGCUUUUGUAACUGUAACAUGCUGUAGGGGAUACGCAGAGUUGGGAGCCACGGUUACCCUUCUGCCUCAGCAAGCAUGUGCUUUGCUGGAGGUUAGAUUAGGUGUUAGCUCCCUGCCAUGCCAAUCUGUCUUUCUUGUCAACAAACUCCUCAUGUCUCUCACAGCCCAAACCUUGCCUAGCAGUUAACAGUUGUGAAUUCCCGCAGCCCUGAGCUCCUCAGAGAUCUUUCUCUGCAAUGCACAGCCCCUGUCACUGGUUAUUCACAGGAGGUAUUGAGUUUGCUGCUCUUUUAAAGACUCAAUACAUUACAGCUCAUUAACUUAACUUGGGUAAAUACACACUUCCCUUCAAGCACAGCACUGAAUUGGUUUAUAGUCAAAAAUAAAACAAGUUUAUUAACAGAGGGACAUAGGCUAAGGCAGUGGUUCUCAACCUUUAUUCAUUUGCGGACCCCUAAAAAUUGUCAAAAUGGAGGUGCAGACCCCUUUGCAAAUCUUAGACAUAAUGUGUGAACCUUCCAGUGGUCUGUGGACCACAGGUUGAGAACCACUGGGCUAAGGGAUACCGAGUAGCAGGAGUAAAGGUAGAAAUAGUUAACAAACAAAUAAAAGUGAAAACACACAUCUCACCGACUAAAACAACCUCACAAGGUGCAAUCUUUGGUUAAGAUUGUUUUUCUCACCCCCAGUCUCCUUUCCAGCCUGGCCAGGAUCCAUCAGAGAUCAGGUCACUUGGUUCCUUUGUUUCCUAAGGUGAAGGAUCAAGAUGGAGUCUCUCUCUGUUCCUUAUAUCUCCAAAGGGAAUGUCUUUGUCUUACAAGUCAGGAAGCCCUCUUGGGUGCUCAGGUUGGCUCUGCUUGCUGUGUCCCCCAGGGAGCUGACCCCAUGUCAAUUUUGAAGUCUCCUGUGAUUUUACAAUGCCCAUGUCUUUCCUACAACCGCCAAGGCAAAUGAAUAGUUCAUUGUCUGUAUCUCUGGUCACAUCUGGCUCAGUUAGCCUCUAAGCCAGAGAUGUUUGCCUUCCCCUUUGUCUUGAAAAAAACUGAUAUGCCUCCUUUGUCUGUUUACGGUCUCCAAAACAUAAUAUCAGUGAGUAUUAAUAAUUUCAUCUACAAUGUUUUUACAGACAUUUCACAAGGAUAUUAAUGACCAGUGUGGUAUUAGUUUUCUAAUGAUGUAUUACACGACACCUUUCAGAUAUAAAUUAUAACAACAGGGAGUUGGGGUACAUUGAGCUGGUCAGCCCAGCUGAAACUCACUGCUACAUAUGAGCCCCUUGCCUUCUGGCAUAGGGAUGCUCUUCAGGUCACAGUGACCCCCCUGGUUCACCUCUCACCCAGUGACUUCAGCAAGGAGAAGAUUACAAAUCAGGUGGUAGCUGGAGGCCCUUUGACUCCCAGACAUGAUGGGAUUGGGGUCAGAGGUUGCCAAAGGACAGCCAAAGAAUUCUGGACUCCAUGAUACCUAGUCUCCCCCUCCCCCAUGUGAAAAGAGCACAUAGAACUUCCCAUUCUCUGGUACAUCAGGACACCCUGGGAGUCAGCCCCAGAGAAGUCCAGUUGGCUGGACUCAUCCCAGGUCUCUCUAGAGACAGGGGAUCAGAAGUCCUCCUGCACAGAAAGAGAGAAGGUGGGAAACAACCAACCUGGCUAAAGAAAGAGCAGGAGAAGUACAGGCAGAUGGGCCUCACCCAGACAUGCAGAAUUCCCCUUCACAAGAAGAGGAGACCUUGCUUGAUGAGUCAUUUCCCAGUUAGGAAAGAAAGGAGCCAGAGCCUGCUGCAGGGGAGACCUUCAGCUCAACCCUGGUUACCAAGAGCCAGCAGCAUGCCGUCUAUGUAUGCAAUGCAUGCAUUGCAUGCCCAAGAAUUCAAAACUUGGUCCAUCCACUGAGUGGCCAAUGAGCUGGAACUGGCCCAUAGGACAGUGCAUAUGAAAAUUUUCAAGUUGCUUGAUGUGUCUGCAAUAAACUGACCCACACCCGUAUAAAAGGGAUGGUAUCACUGCUGCAUUGUGUAUCAUCAGUUUUGUUGGCAGUUUGAUGGUAUGCAGGUUGAGUAUCGUACGGUGAAAUCACCAAAAGCCAGGGUUGCCUUUCAUAUUCUGUUUGAUAUUUUUUGAUCUAGGAAAUCGUCACUUGAGAUGGUACUGUCAUGAUAUGCUAAGUGAUUGUUGAUCUUUAGUUUAUACCAUUGAUGAUGAUGAUGGCUCAGUGGUAAUGGUUAAUGGGGCUGGUUGGAGGAGGACUUCAUUUUUUCCCCCCAGGCUGAUGGUGAGUCCAUUUCUUUCUUUUUGUCUCUGCCCAUCUUUCUCUCCCUGGGAUGGCAAAGUAAACACACUCUCACUCACUUGCCUCUGAGAACCUAUGAAGGAUAAGCUCACUUUUACUGAGUAAAUAGAGCUCAAUCAUCUGCAAAAAACAGUUUCACGUAUGAGUUCCUCAAAGACUUUUGUCUUUGCAGUAAGCCUCUGGGACGGAACAGUUUUUCAUCAGUUCUAUACAUUAUGUAGAUGCCCUUUUGAAGGUGGUCAGUUGCAUUAUUCAGAAUGGGUGUGAAGAAGAGACCAAAAAGGAUCAGUGCCAACCCACAGCCUUGUUUCACCCUAUUAGAUAUGGGAGUUGGUUUAGGGAGACUACCAUCUGAGAGUACUUGACCAGUCAUGUCUUUGUGGAAUUGAUGUAUGGGGUGUAGAAGCAGAGGUAGUACCUCUGAAAGUCAUGACUGCACUCUUUUGAGUGGUUCUUCCAGUCUUCACUUCACACCCAGCUUUCAUCUCACCAGCACCACACUGUCUCAGCAGUGGCCCUGACAUUUCUGACCACUACAUGAUAAGAGUGGAUGGAUGAGCAAUGAGUUUAAGUGCUGUGGCGGAGGGGGACACACUAUAUAAAUGAAUGUAUUAUUAUCUUUUGCUUGUUUAUUUCGCCUUCUUGAACUCUAUACUGGGGUUUAUUAAUUGGCAUUUAUAUUCCCAGGCCUUGAAAUGUUUCCUUGGAGAUGAACAGUAGACCUUUGGAGAAUUGCUUAUUAUAGUAUCAGGUGUGCAUGAAACUGAGUGCAGUCUAGUGCAGCCCAAGUGAGUCACUCUUCUAAAGUUUGGGUGCUGGUGACUGCACUAGUGAUCACAGAGUGAUGGAUCUAAGAGGGACACUGAUGUUACAAAGUGCAGAGUUGUGGGCUUUGCUUAAUUUUUAUAAUGUCACAUCAAUAUGUUAUGACAUUAAAUAACACGAGAUGUUUCAUUCCCCUCUUCCUCAUCAAUCAGCUAAUGUUGGCCUUGAUUCUGCAAAAGCCCUUGCUCUGUGCCCACACUAAGGCUACAUGUGCCCACAUGUGCUACAUGUGCCCACACUAAGGCUAAGCACUCUGUACUGAGCAUUCGUGAAUCUCAAGACCUGACACUUCCACUCUCUUACUCAUAAGAGUCCAGGGUAAAAAGGGCAGGGAGAGGGUAGGGAACAGGCAUGGAUUUAAGAACAAUCCUUAUCCUAUUAAGAGGUAUUUAGUAGGGAUGUCAAUUAAUCACAGUUAACUCACGUGCAAUUGCACUGUUAAACAACAGAAUACCAAUUUAAAUUUAUUAAAUAUUUGUGGAUGUUUUUCUGCAUUUUCAAAUAUUUUGAUU